GCCUCCUUAGCUCAGAUGGUAGAGCGUAUCACUCGUAAUGAUAAGGUCGCCGGAUCGAUCCCGGCAGGGGGCU
RNAcentral lists this transfer RNA (73 nucleotides) under Falsarthrobacter nasiphocae. RNAcentral describes it as "tRNA-Thr". It matches the Rfam family "tRNA". Rfam says of the family: Transfer RNA (tRNA) molecules are approximately 80 nucleotides in length. Their secondary structure includes four short double-helical elements and three loops (D, anti-codon, and T loops). Further hydrogen bonds mediate the characteristic L-shaped molecular structure. tRNAs have two regions of fundamental functional importance: the anti-codon, which is responsible for specific mRNA codon recognition, and the 3' end, to which the tRNAs corresponding amino acid is attached (by aminoacyl-tRNA synthetases). tRNAs cope with the degeneracy of the genetic code in two manners: having more than one tRNA (with a specific anti-codon) for a particular amino acid; and 'wobble' base-pairing, i.e. permitting non-standard base-pairing at the 3rd anti-codon position. The record is from RNAcentral. RNAcentral also lists the same sequence under 1 other name. Lineage: Bacteria; Bacillati; Actinomycetota; Actinomycetes; Micrococcales; Micrococcaceae.